This is a long non-coding RNA of Lutra lutra (Eurasian river otter), 428 nucleotides long. RefSeq lists it as uncharacterized. The record is from RefSeq and is a predicted model, not a curated record. The transcript is spliced from 3 exons. Lineage: Eukaryota; Metazoa; Chordata; Mammalia; Carnivora; Mustelidae.
GCCUUGAAGAAACAAGAGGCUGUGGGGUGUGCUGCCUCCGGGAAGGGCCUGGGGACCUGCAGGCAGGACCCGUGGGCAGCCUUGCUGAAUGCCUUGAUCUUCUUGAUGGAAGCAACUGAAUUCUGCCCUGGUCCUGUGGGCCCGAGGAGGACCCUGAGCUCCAGAAAGGAAAGCCGCUGACUCCUCGAUUCUGGCCUCUGAGAUGCUGAGCAGGAGACCUUGGGGAGCUGUGCCUGGACUCUCGACCCCUGGACCCUGAGAGAUGAGAAGACUGACUCAAGAGAGCCCAAAGUACUUGCUCCAGGCCUCCCAGCUGGAGCUGUGUGAAGACCCACCCCAGCGUCCCAAGCCUGCUGCCAGGACGAAAUGAGGUCCCUGUAACAGUGGCCAUUGGACACAGCUCGGCACUUUCCCUCUGACCCCACUCA